Telopea speciosissima is the source of this 370-nucleotide long non-coding RNA. RefSeq lists it as uncharacterized. The record is from RefSeq and is a predicted model, not a curated record. NCBI's taxonomy places the organism in Eukaryota, Viridiplantae, Streptophyta, Magnoliopsida, Proteales, Proteaceae. The transcript is spliced from 3 exons.
UCUCGACAACCGGGGGAAUUGAUGCAGGUGCACUACCUUGGACCGACCCAAACCCGUUUGAGAAUCCAAGCAGAGAUGAACCAGAUCCAAUUUGGGUUUUUGGCUAGUAGGAUAUUUUAGGAUUUUUAUUUAUUUCUAUAUUGGGAAUUAACAUGCAAUCUUUUAUUUUGCUAGCUUAAAUAGGAGAUAGCUACUAGGAUUUAUUUUUCUAAUUAAAUUGAGUUUCCAAAUUAGAGUAGGUUUCCUUUUCGUGUUGGAUUUCUUUUUUAUUUAAGUACAUGUAACUGUGCAAUUAGAAAUCAGAUUGAAUACAAUGGAAUAGUUGAAUUGGAUUGUGUGGUGCAUGUCUGCAUUGGCUGUGGAUCGCAGC